Molecule: ribosomal RNA, 865 nt
Filed under: uncultured archaeon
Lineage: Archaea
Description: bacterial SSU rRNA
Rfam family: Archaeal small subunit ribosomal RNA
Source: RNAcentral
ACUGCUAUCGGGAUAGGACUAAGACAUGCUAGUCGAGUGGCUCAGCCAAAACGAGUCACGGCAUACAGCUCAGUAACACGUGGCUAACCUGCCCUUGGGACGAGAACAACCCCGGGAAACUGGGGCUAACUCUCGAUAGGCGAAGAACUCUGGAAUGAGUCUUCACCCAAACAGUUUAAGGUUAUGCUCUUUAAACCGCCCAAGGAUGGGGCCGCGACCGAUCAGGUUGUUGGUGAGGUAAUGGCUCACCAAGCCUUUUACCGGUGCGGGCCGUGGGAGCGGGAGCCCGGAGAUGGGCACUGAGACGAGGGCCCAGGCCCUACGGGGCGCAGCAGUCGCGAAAACUUUGCAAUAAGCGAAAGCUUGACAGGGCUAUCCCGAGUGCCAUCCGCUGAGGAAGGCUUUUACCCAGUCUAGAACGCUGGGGGAAUAAGGAGAGGGCAAGUCUGGUGUCAGCCGCCGCGGUAAUACCAGCUCUCCGAGUGGUGUGGAUGUUUAUUGGGCCUAAAGCAUCCGUAGCUGGCUAAGUUAGUCCCCUGUUAAAUCCACCGAAUUAAUCGUUGGAUUGCGGGGGGUACUGCUUGGCUAGGGGACGAGAGAGGCAGACGGUAUUUCCGGGGUAGGGGUGAAAUCCUAUAAUCCCGGGAAGACCACCAGUGGCGAAGGCUGUCUGCUAGAACGCGCCCGACGGUGAGGGAUGAAAGCUGGGGGAGCGAACCGGAUUAGAUACCCGGGUAGUCCCAGCUGUAAACGAUGCAGACUAGGUGUUUGAACGGCCACGUGCCGUUCUAGUGCCGCAGGGAAGCUGUUAAGUCUGCCGCCUGGGGAGUACGAUCGCAAGAUUGAAACUUAAAGGAAUUGGCGG